This 1881-nucleotide long non-coding RNA is filed under the name Gossypium barbadense (sea-island cotton). RNAcentral's name for it is "long non-coding RNA (GBAR_LNC023571)". The record is from RNAcentral. Lineage: Eukaryota; Viridiplantae; Streptophyta; Magnoliopsida; Malvales; Malvaceae.
UCACGGGUUCCACUCGACUCUGCCCUUUUUGGGUAUUUCAGGUCUUGUUGCGUUUCCAAAAAACAAGUGAACAUUUGACUGACCAUGUGACUUAAUUCUGCAGUCAUGGCCUCCAUUCCCAUUGCGUAUAUCAAGUCGAAGUUUAUCACAGAGCUGACUCAUGUUAGUACCUAUCGCUGUUUCCUCCAACCUCUCAACUUCCUUUUGAAGAUUAACAACAUCCCUCUAUAAUCUGGUAGAUAUUUCAUCUGUCAUUGUUAAAACCUGGGACCUUUUGUGUCUUUGAAAACCACGAUGGUACCUUCCAAAUGAGCUGAGCCUUCCUGCUAAGAGUAAUCUGGAAAAUAUGUGUGAAAGGAAAAGAAGGGUAUAGAGAAGAGAAGAAAAACAUGAGAGAGAGAAAUGUAAAACCCAUUCUGGUAUUGUAUGGUAGAAUAUUCUCAAGAGUGUCUGAUAUCGUUCUUUCUUUCUGAUAUAUUUAGACGUAGUGCAUGCUUACUAAAAUAACCAAGACUAAACUAAAUACUAUAACUACUAAAUUAUUCAAACCUCAGCUGACUCGGGCUGCAUAAGCCACACUCGUAAUUGGGCCUGUAACAAGUUUUUGUUCGUUGCUACCAAAGCCUAUCUACUUAUGCCAGCUCAUAAGGCCACUGGGAAUGAGAUAACAAUCUUUGGGUUGUUUGGAAGUGAAAAUAGUAUGUUUCUACAUGGUUUAGAACUUAAUAGCAUGGUUAUUUACUGCUAAAUUAUCUGAAACAAUUUCUGUAAGAUUUUGAGCUGUUCACACGUCAAAAAGAUUUUGCAAGGGCCUUCUGUUCGGCUGCUUCCAAAUUAUGAUUGGAUUGAGGUCAAAUGAAAACCUUGAAUUCCAGAAAUUUAAGAAAGUUUUUGAAGUAUUUACUAUGGUUUGUGAAAACAUUUGGAAAACACUAGGGAACAAAAAGAGUUCAUUCAAGUUUCAAUAUUAUAUUCUUUUACAAAUUCACCUAAUCAGAAGUUAUUUUCAUGUGUGCGUGUGUCUAGGUGUAUGCAUGUAUAAGCAUAUGUGCAGAUUUGUUGCAAAUCUUAUAUUAUUAUUUUGUUUUUUGUUUCCAACUUGACCUUCUGGCAUCUUUAUUCACAUUAACUCAAACAGCUAGAAUCGUCACCUUAAGAAAUGGAUGGUUAGAAAGAAAAGGAUGAAGACUGAAUAAAGGAGUAAAGGACAGUGUGCUUGUACCAAAAGUCUGAUACGUAGUUUCCUGUCUUAUGGUCUUUUGCCUCAUAAAUUGGUGAUGGCUCCUACCAACAUAUGAUGUAUUCUUUCCCGUAUGUUAUCAGCUCCAAGUUUCAGUUUUAACCAAAUUGGUCUUAACAAAAAAUUAAUUUGCUUGUGAAUAAGUGCAUGCUAUUAGUGAUAAUCUUUUUAGCUACCGAAACAGUGUCAUGCUGUCGUGCAGAACCGAAGUUCUUUAAACUGAGAUCUGAAUUUGACUUUGUUUGGUUGGCAGAAAAUUGAGAAGCAGGGAUCCAAUGAACAAUCCUCUUGAUAUAAGCUUCCUUGCUGGGAAACCCACUCUUAGAUUCGUGGGAAUUGUGUUGUUGACUCCUAGGAAUCUCACAAAAAGUUACCCGAUUUACUAGAUGAGUAUUGAUCUCAGAUCCGGAUGUGAGGCCUUUUGGAUUGUUUUUUGUUCUUGUUUUUGUUGUGUUAGGUUUGGAAUAAAUUCUGGCUUCAUAUUGAAAAACACCAUAUAUAAAAAAUUAUGAUACUGCAGUGAAUACUUGGUUUGAACUUUCAGAUUAUUUUGAAGUGACUUGAAAAGGGCGCAUAACAUAUUUGGCAUAUAUAUAUGUAUCUAUUUGUUGAGAUCUUAAAUGAAGAAAAAAUUUAAGAAU